GGCAGACGCCGCUUUUGACUCUCUUCGAUUUACAAACCCUGGACAGGAAAGUCAACCAUGAACUGCAGUGGAGGACAUGCCAGACCCAGGCAGCAAGUUCUGCCCUCUUUCUCCACCAGGACCCUGCAGCACCCCUCCUUCCUGCCCCUCUACAUGGCUGCAGGCUUUGCGCACCAUCACAUAGGCUGUAACGACCAAGCAGUCCAUCCCAUCAUCCCAGUCGAGGUCUUCUACACUGACCCCGCCAUGAGCUGUGGCAGGAGGAUCCCCA
Molecule: long non-coding RNA, 271 nt
Organism: Seriola dumerili (greater amberjack)
Lineage: Eukaryota; Metazoa; Chordata; Actinopteri; Carangiformes; Carangidae
Exons: 3
Source: RefSeq, a predicted model, not a curated record